AGCGUACACGGUGGAUGCCCUGGCAGUCAGAGGCGAUGAAGGACGUGCUAAUCUGCGAAAAGCGUCGGUAAGGUGAUAUGAACCGUUAUAGCCGGCGAUGUCCGAAUGGGGAAACCCAGUGCAAUUCGUUGCACUAUCGUUAACUGAAUACAUAGGUUAACGAGGCGAACCGGGGGAACUGAAACAUCUAAGUACCCCGAGGAAAAGAAAUCAACCGAGAUUCCCCCAGUAGCGGCGAGCGAACGGGGAGCAGCCCGGAGUCUGAAUCAGCUUGUGUGUUAGUGGAAGCGUCUGGAAAGUCGCAGGGUACAGGGUGAUACUCCCGUACACUAAAACACACAGGCUGUGAACUCGAAGAGUAGGGCGGGACACGUGGUAUCCUGUCUGAAUAUGGGGGGACCAUCCUCCAAGGCUAAAUACUCCUGACUGACCGAUAGUGAACCAGUACCGUGAGGGAAAGGCGAAAAGAACCCCGGCGAGGGGAGUGAAAAAGAACCUGAAACCGUGUACGUACAAGCAGUAGGAGCCCCACCACCAAAGCGUUUCGCUUUGCGUGGUGCGCAAAAUGCGUAACGACAGCAUGAUGGACGGUUAACGGAGCGUCAGCGACGUUCAACCUCAAAAAUCAGGCAGUGGAGCGUUUUGGGGUGGGGUGACUGCGUACCUUUUGUAUAAUGGGUCAGCGACUUAUAUUCUGUAGCAAGGUUAACCGAAUAGGGGAGCCGCAGGGAAACCGAGUCUUAACUGGGCGUUAAGUUGCAGGGUAUAGACCCGAAACCCGGUGAUCUAGCCAUGGGCAGGUUGAAGGUUGGGUAACACUAACUGGAGGACCGAACCGACUAAUGUUGAAAAAUUAGCGGAUGACUUGUGGCUGGGGGUGAAAGGCCAAUCAAACCGGGAGAUAGCUGGUUCUCCCCGAAAGCUAUUUAGGUAGCGCCUCGUGAACUCAUCUUCGGGGGUAGAGCACUGUUUCGGCUAGGGGGUCAUCCCGACUUACCAACCCGAUGCAAACUACGAAUACCGAAGAAUGUUAUCACGGGAGACACACGGCGGGUGCUAACGUCCGUCGUGAAGAGGGAAACAACCCAGACCGCCAGCUAAGGUCCCAAAGUCAUGGUUAAGUGGGAAACGAUGUGGGAAGGCCCAGACAGCCAGGAUGUUGGCUUAGAAGCAGCCAUCAUUUAAAGAAAGCGUAAUAGCUCACUGGUCGAGUCGGCCUGCGCGGAAGAUGUAACGGGGCUAAACCAUGCACCGAAGCUGCGGCAGCGACACUAUGUGUUGUUGGGUAGGGGAGCGUUCUGUAAGCCGUUGAAGGUGGCCUGUGAGGGUUGCUGGAGGUAUCAGAAGUGCGAAUGCUGACAUAAGUAACGAUAAUGCGGGUGAAAAACCCGCACGCCGGAAGACCAAGGGUUCCUGUCCAACGUUAAUCGGGGCAGGGUGAGUCGACCCCUAAGGCGAGGCCGAAAGGCGUAGUCGAUGGGAAACAGGUUAAUAUUCCUGUACUUGGUGUUACUGCGAAGGGGGGACGGAGAAGGCUAUGUUGGCCGGGCGACGGUUGUCCCGGUUUAAGCAUGUAGGCGGAUGUUCCAGGUAAAUCCGGAACGUUAUUAACGCUGAGGUGUGAUGACGAGGCACUACGGUGCUGAAGUGACAAAUGCCCUGCUUCCAGGAAAAGCCUCUAAGCAUCAGGUAACAUCAAAUCGUACCCCAAACCGACACAGGUGGUCAGGUAGAGAAUACCAAGGCGCUUGAGAGAACUCGGGUGAAGGAACUAGGCAAAAUGGUGCCGUAACUUCGGGAGAAGGCACGCUGAUGGUAGGUGAAGCGACUUGCUCGUGGAGCUGAAAUCAGUCGAAGAUACCAGCUGGCUGCAACUGUUUAUUAAAAACACAGCACUGUGCAAACACGAAAGUGGACGUAUACGGUGUGACGCCUGCCCGGUGCCGGAAGGUUAAUUGAUGGGGUUAUCCUCACGGAGAAGCUCUUGAUCGAAGCCCCGGUAAACGGCGGCCGUAACUAUAACGGUCCUAAGGUAGCGAAAUUCCUUGUCGGGUAAGUUCCGACCUGCACGAAUGGCGUAAUGAUGGCCAGGCUGUCUCCACCCGAGACUCAGUGAAAUUGAACUCGCUGUGAAGAUGCAGUGUACCCGCGGCAAGACGGAAAGACCCCGUGAACCUUUACUAUAGCUUGACACUGAACACUGGUCCUUGAUGUGUAGGAUAGGUGGGAGGCUUUGAAGUGUGGACGCCAGUCUGCAUGGAGCCGUCCUUGAAAUACCACCCUUUAAUGGCUGGUGUUCUAACGUGGGCCCGUAAUCCGGGUUGCGGACAGUGUCUGGUGGGUAGUUUGACUGGGGCGGUCUCCUCCUAAAGAGUAACGGAGGAGCACGAAGGUCAGCUAAUCCUGGUCGGACAUCAGGAGGUUAGUGCAAUGGCAUAAGCUGGCUUGACUGCGAGCGUGACGGCGCGAGCAGGUGCGAAAGCAGGUCAUAGUGAUCCGGUGGUUCUGAAUGGAAGGGCCAUCGCUCAACGGAUAAAAGGUACUCCGGGGAUAACAGGCUGAUACCGCCCAAGAGUUCAUAUCGACGGCGGUGUUUGGCACCUCGAUGUCGGCUCAUCACAUCCUGGGGCUGAAGUAGGUCCCAAGGGUAUGGCUGUUCGCCAUUUAAAGUGGUACGCGAGCUGGGUUUAGAACGUCGUGAGACAGUUCGGUCCCUAUCUGCCGUGGGCGCUGGAGAAUUGAGGGGGGCUGCUCCUAGUACGAGAGGACCGGAGUGGACGCAUCACUGGUGUUCGGGUUGUCAUGCCAAUGGCAUUGCCCGGUAGCUAAAUGCGGAAGAGAUAAGUGCUGAAAGCAUCUAAGCACGAAACUUGCCCCGAGAUGAGUUCUCCCUGACUCCUUGA
This 2903-nucleotide ribosomal RNA is filed under the name Klebsiella oxytoca 10-5248. RNAcentral describes it as "bacterial LSU rRNA". It matches the Rfam family "Bacterial large subunit ribosomal RNA". The record is from RNAcentral. Lineage: Bacteria; Pseudomonadati; Pseudomonadota; Gammaproteobacteria; Enterobacterales; Enterobacteriaceae.